This 685-nucleotide ribosomal RNA is filed under the name uncultured bacterium. Its description in RNAcentral is "bacterial SSU rRNA". It matches the Rfam family "Bacterial small subunit ribosomal RNA", at positions 120 to 823 of the family's 1533-position model. The record is from RNAcentral.
GAUAACCUGCCGUAUGCAGGGGGAUAACAGUUGGAAACAGCUGCUAAUACCGCAUAAGCGCACAGUACCGCAUGGUACGGUGUGAAAAGAUUUAUCGGCAUACGAUGGAUCCGCGUCCGAUUAGCCAGUUGGCGGGGUAACGGCCCACCAAAGCGACGAUCGGUAGCCGGCCUGAGAGGGCGGACGGCCACAUUGGGACUGAGACACGGCCCAAACUCCUACGGGAGGCAGCAGUGGGGAAUAUUGCACAAUGGGGGAAACCCUGAUGCAGCGACGCCGCGUGAGUGAAGAAGUAUCUCGGUAUGUAAAGCUCUAUCAGCAGGGAAGAAAAUGACGGUACCUGACUAAGAAGCCCCGGCUAACUACGUGCCAGCAGCCGCGGUAAUACGUAGGGGGCAAGCGUUAUCCGGAUUUACUGGGUGUAAAGGGAGCGUAGACGGCGCUGCAAGUCCGGAGUGAAAGCCCAUGGCUUAACCAUGGUACUGCUCUGGAAACUGUGGAGCUUGAGUGCGGGAGGGGCAGGCGGAAUUCCUAGUGUAGCGGUGAAAUGCGUAGAUAUUAGGAGGAACACCGGCGGCGAAGGCGGCCUGCUGGACCGUAACUGACGUUGAGGCUCGAAAGCGUGGGGAGCAAACAGGAUUAGAUACCCUGGUAGUCCACGCCGUAAACGAUGAUUACCAGGUGU